AGCAUGGUCUUAGCUUGCUAAGACCGAUGGCGACCGGCGCACGGGUGAGUAACACGUAUCCAACCUGCCUUAUACUCCCGGACAGCCUUCUGAAAGGAAGAUUAAUACGGGAUGGUAUCACGAGCCAGCAUUUUCUCGUGAUUAAAGAAUUUCGGUAUAAGAUGGGGAUGCGUUCCAUUAGAUAGUAGGCGGGGUAACGGCCCACCUAGUCUACGAUGGAUAGGGGUUCUGAGAGGAAGGUCCCCCACAUUGGAACUGAGACACGGUCCAAACUCCUACGGGAGGCAGCAGUGAGGAAUAUUGGUCAAUGGGCGCGAGCCUGAACCAGCCAAGUAGCGUGAAGGAUGACUGCCCUACGGGUUGUAAACUUCUUUUAUAAAGGAAUAAAGUGAGGCACGUGUGCCUUUUUGUAUGUACUUUAUGAAUAAGGAUCGGCUAACUCCGUGCCAGCAGCCGCGGUAAUACGGAGGAUCCGAGCGUUAUCCGGAUUUAUUGGGUUUAAAGGGAGCGUAGAUGGGUUGUUAAGUCAGUUGUGAAAGUUUGCGGCUCAACCGUAAAAUUGCAAUUGAUACUGGCAGCCUUGAGUACAGUUGAGGUAGGCGGAAUUCGUGGUGUAGCGGUGAAAUGCUUAGAUAUCACGAAGAACUCCGAUUGCGAAGGCAGCUUACUAAACUGCCACUGACAUUGAUGCUCGAAAGUGUGGGUAUCAAACA
Molecule: ribosomal RNA, 713 nt
Filed under: uncultured bacterium
Lineage: Bacteria
Description: bacterial SSU rRNA
Rfam family: Bacterial small subunit ribosomal RNA
Source: RNAcentral